RNAcentral lists this ribosomal RNA (253 nucleotides) under uncultured bacterium. RNAcentral describes it as "partial 16S ribosomal RNA". It matches the Rfam family "Bacterial small subunit ribosomal RNA", at positions 524 to 776 of the family's 1533-position model. The record is from RNAcentral.
UACGUAGGAUGCAAGCGUUGUUCGGAAUUACUGGGCGUAAAGAGUACGUAGGCGGUUUGUUAAGUCUGCUAUUAAAGACUGGAGCUUAACUCCAGGACUGUAGUGGAAACUGUCAGACUAGAGGACAAUAGAGGAAGUCGGAAUUCUCAGUGUAGCGGUGAAAUGCGUAGAUAUUGGGAAGAACACCAGUGGCGAAAGCGGACUUCUGGGUUGUUACUGACGCUGAGGUACGAAAGCGUGGGGAGCAAACGGG